AUACUCACCUGGCAGGGGAGGUACCAUGAUCACAAAGGUGGUUUUCCCAGGGCGAGGCUUAUCCAUGGCCCUCCGGAUGUGCUGACCCCUGCGAUUUCCCCAAAUGUGGGAGACUCGAUUGCAUAAUUUGUGGUAGUGGGGGACUGCGUUUGCGCUCUCCCCUA
Molecule: small nuclear RNA, 164 nt
Filed under: Myotis brandtii (Brandt's bat)
Lineage: Eukaryota; Metazoa; Chordata; Mammalia; Chiroptera; Vespertilionidae
Description: U1 spliceosomal RNA
Rfam family: U1 spliceosomal RNA
About the family: U1 is a small nuclear RNA (snRNA) component of the spliceosome (involved in pre-mRNA splicing). Its 5' end forms complementary base pairs with the 5' splice junction, thus defining the 5' donor site of an intron. There are significant differences in sequence and secondary structure between metazoan and yeast U1 snRNAs, the latter being much longer (568 nucleotides as compared to 164 nucleotides in human).
Source: Rfam by way of RNAcentral